This is a non-coding RNA of Phrynosoma platyrhinos (Desert horned lizard), 75 nucleotides long. The record is from the annotation of a GenBank genome assembly. Lineage: Eukaryota; Metazoa; Chordata; Lepidosauria; Squamata; Phrynosomatidae.
GCCAGUGUGGCGUAGUGGUUUGAGAGUUGGGACUAUGACUCUGGAGACCUGGGUUUGAUUCCCAGCUCUUAGCCA